GAUGAACGCUAGCGACAGGCUUAACACAUGCAAGUCGAGGGGCAUCACGGGUAGCAAUAUCUGGUGGCGACCGGCGAACGGGUGAGUAACGCGUAUGCAACCUACUUGUAAACGGGAGACAACCUGGAGAAAUUUGGGCUAAACUUCCAUGAGGCAUUAUUACUGCAUGGUAAUGAUGUCAAACGUAAGGUUUACAAAUGGGCAUGCGUAUGAUUAGCUAGUUGGUAGGGUAAUAGCCUACCAAGGCGACGAUCAUUAGGGGUUCUGAGAGGAAGGUCCCCCACAUUGGAACUGAGAUACGGUCCAAACUCCUACGGGGAGGCAGCAGUGAGGAAUAUUGGUCAAUGGACAGAAGUCUGAACCAGCCAAGUCGCGUGAAGGAAGAAGGUUUUCGGAUUGUAAACUUCUGUCCUUGGUGAAGAGAAGAAGACGGUAGCCAAGGAGGAAGCCCCGGCUAACUACGUGC
Molecule: ribosomal RNA, 466 nt
Filed under: uncultured bacterium
Lineage: Bacteria
Description: bacterial SSU rRNA
Rfam family: Bacterial small subunit ribosomal RNA
Source: RNAcentral